GCCUAUGUCCCCAUCCACUACCAUGUGACCUGGGCUGCCCCAUCUACCCAAGCCGGAGUGCCGGACACAAUUCAAAAUUCGAAUCCCUCAGGUAGACGCAACUGCAUCGACCAGAGGAACCACGGCGUGGUCUUCCCCGCGCCUGGAUCUCGAGAUUUCUUCAUGAUUCACCAAUGAAUCUCGGUUCAGCUUCUGUUCCCAGCGGAUCGCAACAGAGGGCCUCCCAGAACUGGGAUUGCUAGAGGAGGAGGAGGACGAUGAGUGCAUUCAUCAUCCUAAUUUCUAGAACGAUUCAUGAAUAUCAGGCCGUGCCAGAUUUCACCAACGUCCCAUAUAUUGUCAACACCGAAGAGCCCGCACCUGAAUCGCAGUGCACUCGAGCUUCGUGGCCUCAAAGAGCAAGUACUUCUGAACCUACAUCAGGGUGAUGUGCACGGCAAUAUUUUCCUAAAAAAAAUCCUGGCAUUAUGAUUAACAACUACCAAAUAUGUAGGGUCUGUCUUGGUAAGAUACCUGACUGUUGUGCCACAUUAUCGGGAAUGAGAAGUGCUUUGGAGAAGGCCAUGAGAAAUUACGCAGAUAGGAAGUCAGAGUUCGUCGUUAAGCCAAUGUGUAGCAGGUGCGGCAUUGCAGACCAUAAAAGGAAUUUGUGUGUGGGAACAAUCUUCAACAUCUUCCAAUAGUUUUUUCAUUGAUGACGACAUUCUCUCGAUUUUGGAGUUCGCUUGCUUUGAAUUGCUGGUCUACUUAUGCAAAAAGAAAAGUGGAUGUCACUCACAAGAUGUUCUGAUUAGAAUAUGUUGCUGCUGACAUAGAAACUUAUUGACUUUUGUUGUAAAGUGAUGCAAAAUACUUUUGUUGUUCAAUAGAGUAAUUGUACGUAAACUUCUCUCUGCUCAUUUCGUGUCAACAAUUUGUAAAUUUAUUGAUGUUACUGCUAUGUAAGAAAAAAGUCCAACUUAUAUGAAACUUUGUUGUACAUUUUGCCCAAGUCUGUAAAUUUCUCCUUGUU
This is a long non-coding RNA of Triticum aestivum (bread wheat), 1012 nucleotides long. RefSeq lists it as uncharacterized. The record is from RefSeq and is a predicted model, not a curated record. The transcript is spliced from 3 exons. Lineage: Eukaryota; Viridiplantae; Streptophyta; Magnoliopsida; Poales; Poaceae.